This 389-nucleotide long non-coding RNA is filed under the name Brassica napus (rape). RNAcentral describes it as "long non-coding RNA (BNAP_LNC023893)". Lineage: Eukaryota; Viridiplantae; Streptophyta; Magnoliopsida; Brassicales; Brassicaceae. The record is from RNAcentral.
UUCAUGGUGAGAGUUCUUUUAGGAGAUGAGGAAGCUGGUUUCGUUUUGUCGCUUAGAACCAGAGUAUAUGGUGGUGGAUGAUUCAUUUUUAUGGUUUUGUUGGAGUAGUUUGUUGGAACCGGAUAUGAGGGUAUAUAUGGUGGCAAUGACGUUAAGAAUUUGUUAAUACGCUUUAGUCAAUAACGUAAAGAAGAGGAGUGUAUUGAAAGGGGCAUUCAUUUUCUACAACCUGAAACCUUUCUAAAUUUGAAAAACGUUUCUAAUUUACUACAACUUAAUUGUUAAUAGGUUUUUGUAUUUCACAAGGGUCUAACUUGAGUAUGUUUUGUUGUUAUCAGUUUUCUGUUAAUCAUAUUCCGAUAGAACAGUUCCCAUUCAAAAUAGUAUUG